AUACGUAGGGUGCGAGCGUUGUCCGGAAUUACUGGGCGUAAAGAGCUCGUAGGUGGUUUGUCGCGUCGUCUGUGAAAUUCCGGGGCUUAACUCCGGGCGUGCAGGCGAUACGGGCAUAACUUGAGUACUGUAGGGGAGACUGGAAUUCCUGGUGUAGCGGUGAAAUGCGCAGAUAUCAGGAGGAACACCGGUGGCGAAGGCGGGUCUCUGGGCAGUACCUGACGCUGAGGAGCGAAAGCAUGGGUAGCGAACAGGAUUAGUUACCCUGGUAGUCCAUGCCGUAAACGGUGGGGGCUAGGUGUAGGGGUCUUCCACGAUUUCUGUGCCGUAGCUAACGCAUUAAGCGCCCCGCCUGGGGAGUACGGCCGCAAGGCUAAAACUCAAAGGAAUUGACGGGG
This 398-nucleotide ribosomal RNA is filed under the name uncultured bacterium. RNAcentral's name for it is "partial 16S ribosomal RNA". It matches the Rfam family "Bacterial small subunit ribosomal RNA", at positions 523 to 918 of the family's 1533-position model. The record is from RNAcentral.